Molecule: transfer RNA, 84 nt
Filed under: Planctomycetota bacterium
Lineage: Bacteria; Pseudomonadati; Planctomycetota
Description: Planctomycetes bacterium (rhizosphere metagenome) tRNA-Ser
Rfam family: tRNA
About the family: Transfer RNA (tRNA) molecules are approximately 80 nucleotides in length. Their secondary structure includes four short double-helical elements and three loops (D, anti-codon, and T loops).
Source: RNAcentral
GGAAGGACAAGCCAAAGGGUGAUGGCAUCCGGCCCGAACCCGGACGAGCGACGAGCCUUGAGGGUUCGACUCCCUCUCCUUCCG